Molecule: ribosomal RNA, 346 nt
Filed under: uncultured bacterium
Lineage: Bacteria
Description: partial 16S ribosomal RNA
Rfam family: Bacterial small subunit ribosomal RNA
Source: RNAcentral
CCUACGGGAGGCAGCAGUCGAGAAUCAUUCACAAUGGGGGAAACCCUGAUGGGGCGACGCCGCGUGGGGGAAUGAAGGUCUGCGGAUUGUAAACCCCUGUCAUGUGGGAGCAAAUUAAAAAGAUAGUACCACAAGAGGAAGAGACGGCUAACUCUGUGCCAGCAGCCGCGGUAAUACAGAGGUCUCAAGCGUUGUUCGUAAUCACUGGGCGUAAAGCGUGCGUAGGCUGUUUCGUAAGUAGUGUGUGAAAGGCGCGGGCUCAACCCGCGGACGGCACAUGCUACUGCGCGACGAGAGGAAUGGAGGGGGAACCGGAAGUCUCGGUGGAGCAGUGACAUGCGUAGAU